This 167-nucleotide unclassified non-coding RNA is filed under the name soil metagenome. RNAcentral describes it as "partial contains 5.8S ribosomal RNA, internal transcribed spacer 2, and large subunit ribosomal RNA". The record is from RNAcentral.
AACGGUCUAUACCUGCGGUACCUGCGGAAGGAUCAUUAGUGAACGCCCUCACGGGCUUAUAACUAUUCCAAACCUCUGUGAACCGUGCCCUUCGGGGCUAUUUUACAAACGUGGUGUAAUGAACGUCAUAUAUCAUAACAAAACAAAACUUUCAGCAACGGAUCUCU